RNAcentral lists this long non-coding RNA (526 nucleotides) under Physcomitrium patens. Its description in RNAcentral is "long non-coding RNA (PPAT_LNC008287)". The record is from RNAcentral. Lineage: Eukaryota; Viridiplantae; Streptophyta; Bryopsida; Funariales; Funariaceae.
UUAAUUCUAAUAGAAUAUUAACAAUGCUAAACAAGCUUUAAUAAAAUCUGGAGAAACCUCAAAGGAAUUCCAAAGAAACAAUAAGAAAUCUUAAAAAAUUAUUAGAAUGAUUAUAAAUAUAUCUCAAAUAUAUCUUAAUUCAAUCUUAAUUUAAACUUAGUUGAAAUCUUACUUCAGUCAAACUUUAGGCCAAAAACUAACUAAAUCUUAAAUCCUAAAUAAACUCAAAUAAAAUCCUAAAUCCUAAAUCAAAUCCUGAUCAAAUCCUAAACAAAUCUUAAAUCCUAACCAAAUCCUAAAUCCUAAAUCAAAUCCUAAUCCUAAAUCAAAUCCUAAUGAAAUCCUAAACCCUAAAUCAAAUCCCAAACCUAAAUCAAAUCCUAACCAAAUUCUAAAUCCUAACCCUAAAUCAAAUCCUAAUCAAAUCUUAAUCCUAAUCUUAAAUCUUAAACCAAACCUUAACCAAAUCCUAAUCCUAAAUCAAAUCCUAAUCAAAUCUUAACCCUAAUCCUAAAUCCUAAACCAA